GACGAACGCUGGCGGCGUGCUUAACACAUGAAAGUCGAACGAAGUGGCGAACGGGUGAGUAACGCGUCAUCAACCUGCCCUUCAGAGGGGACAACAGUUGGAAACGACUGCUAAUACCGCAUACUGAAGGCGGGGAUUGCGUCUGAUUAGCUAGUUGGAGGGGUAACGGACCACCAAGGCGAUGAUCAGUAGGCGGUCGGAGAGGAUGAACGGCCACAAUGGGACUGAGACAAGGCCCAGAAUGCUACGGGGGGCAGCAGUGGGGAAUCUUCCGAAAUGGACGAAAGUCUGACGGAGCAACUCCGCGUGAGUGAUGACGGCCUUCGGGUUGUAAAGCUCUGUUAAUCUGGACGCGGUACCGGAAUAGAAAGCCACGGCUAACUACGUGCCAGCAGCCGCGGUAAUUC
This 407-nucleotide ribosomal RNA is filed under the name uncultured bacterium. RNAcentral describes it as "partial 16S ribosomal RNA". It matches the Rfam family "Bacterial small subunit ribosomal RNA", at positions 28 to 526 of the family's 1533-position model. The record is from RNAcentral.